RNA transcript from Harpegnathos saltator (Jerdon's jumping ant), 3467 nucleotides. It is a transcript of the gene named sterile alpha and armadillo motif, with no coding region annotated. The record is from RefSeq and is a predicted model, not a curated record. The transcript has 10 exons. Lineage: Eukaryota; Metazoa; Arthropoda; Insecta; Hymenoptera; Formicidae.
UGGAAACUCCGAAAACGGAGACAUGCACACCGUCAUGGAGAACUUCCAGAAGAAGAACAACCUGGUGACCGGCAGGACACACGUCACUCAUCAUCCGCAGGUCACUACGUCGUCGCAGAUGCUGACGACGAAUCAGAGUCAGAGCAGUAGCAGCAGCAGCAGCAGCAGCACCAGCACCAGCACCAGCAGCUCGAGCAGGGUGGCCAAGUCCUCGCAGAGGAUCCUCACCUCGUCCUCGUCGAGUGAGAUGAAAGCGAGCUCCAUGAAGAGCGACCUGACCGAACUCAAGCGUGGCAUCUCCGAGAUGAAGAACAUGUCCACCAACUUCUCGCAGCGGUUGCGCAGCAGCAUGGAGAACCUUGUAGACAGAGACGGCAAUGUGCCCGAGGAAAGAGACUUGACGGAGCCGCUGGUGACGUUUCCAGACCCGGACACUCCUCCGCCCGUCAGCGACGCUGUCACGUUGACAGGCGGUUCCCCGUCACAGUUGAGCACGUUGAAUUCCCUGAACAAUCUUCACGGCAUGAGUCCGCCGAUCAACAUAUCGAAUAUACCGAACAUGGCGAAUUUACCUGCUGGUCAGGAAACGAUGAAGUUCGAACAGAAGAAGAUGACUAGUGCCUCCAAGACGAAGGUGGUCACGGAUGGAUUUAGCGCCGAGAAGGCGACAGCGAACAGCGCCGAGAUGAGAGCCCUUCAAGCUGGCGACGUGUCAUACAAAGAACAGAGCGCCGCGACGGCGGCGAGGGCGCGCGUCGAGCUAGACGGCGUUUCUGCGGAGAAGAGCGUCGCUUCCGCGAGGGAGCAGAGAAGCCUGAAAGCUGGCGACCUGUCGCAUCAGGAGAGCAAUAACAUGGCAGCGUCUACCAUGAAGCUGCAGAGCGACUCGUUCAGCUCGGAGAAGAAAGCGAUGGCGGCGCAGCAACAACGGCAGACGGUCACGUCGACCGGCAUCUUCAAUCACGAGAAGCACAUAGCUGCCAGUUCACAGUCGAGCAUCACAAUCGCGUCCAAGGGCGUCACCUCCAAGUCGUCGAUGAUCAGCGCCGCGAGCGCGGUGAAUCAGCUGAUGAACGGCAUACGGCCGGCCGAGGACGAGCUGCUGUCGUUGCCGUUGGACGACCUCGACCUGCUGUGCUCCAAGUCGAAUCCGCAGGACGUUGAUCGCGCGAUUUCCAAAUACUGCGGCUUCCUCGACAGCUUCGUGGAGAGGCUGAAGGCGAACGACGGCAGGAGCGGCAAGGCGCCGCUCUUGCUGAACAGAGUGAACGAGAUCAUCAGGAAGGCCUGGGCGGUGCCGACUCACGGCCACGAGCUCGGUUAUACCUUGUGCAACACUCUGAGGACCCGCGGCGGUCUCGAUAUCCUCAUGUCCAACUGCGUGGCGAACGAUCACGAGCUGCAGUUCUCGUCGGCGAGGCUGCUGGAACAGUGCCUGACCACGGAGAAUCGCGCUCACGUGGUGGAGAACGGCCUGGAGAAGGUGGUAAACGUGGCGUGCGUGUGCACGAAGAACGCCAACUCGGUGGACCACUCGCGCGUCGGCACCGGUAUCCUCGAACACUUGUUCAAGCACAGCGAGGGCACAUGUAGCGACGUGAUCCGGCUAGGCGGGCUCGAUGCGGUGCUGUUCGAGUGCCGAAAGAACGACGUAGAGACGCUGCGACAUUGCGCGGGCGCCCUGGCGAAUCUGUCGCUGUACGGCGGCGCCGAGAACCAAGAGGCGAUGAUCAAGCGGAAGGUGCCCAUGUGGCUGUUCCCGCUGGCCUUCCACAACGACGACAACAUCAAGUACUACGCCUGCCUGGCGAUCGCCGUGCUGGUCGCCAACAAGGAGAUCGAGGCGGCUGUGCUCAAGUCCGGCACCCUCGAUCUCGUCGAGCCUUUCGUCACGUCGCACAACCCUUACGAGUUCGCCAAGUCGAACCUCGCUCACGCUCACGGCCAGAGCAAGAACUGGCUGGAGCGAUUGGUGCCGGUAUUGAGCUCGAAGCGAGAGGAAGCGAGGAACCUGGCGGCAUUUCACUUCUGCAUGGAGGCUGGCAUUAAGCAGCGGCAGGGUAACACGGAGAUCUUCCGGGAGAUCGGCGCGAUCGAGCCCUUGAAGAAAGUCGCCAGCUGUCCCAACGCGAUCGCUUCCAAGUACGCGGCGCAGGCUCUGAGGUUGAUCGGCGAGGAGAUCCCUCACAAGCUCAGCCAGCAGGUGCCUCUGUGGUCGACCGAGGAUGUCAGAGAGUGGGUGAAACAAAUCGGCUUCGCCGAGUGCGCGGUCAACUUUGCCGAGAGCCGCGUCGACGGCGAUCUGCUGCUGCAGCUGACCGAGGAGAACCUGCGCGAGGAUAUCGGCCUGACCAACGGUAUCAUGCGUCGGCGAUUCGCCCGUGAGCUGCAGAACCUGAAGAAGAUGGCCGACUAUAGCAGCCGCGACACCGGUAAUCUCAACAGUUUUCUACAGUCGAUCGGCCAGGAGUUCUCCAUCUACACGUACGGCAUGCUGAACGCCGGCGUGGACAAGGAGUCGAUACGCAACCUGUCGGAGGAUCAGCUGCUGGCCGAAUGCGGCAUCACCAACAGCAUACACCGUCUCAGGAUACUGAACGCAAUCAAGAACAUGCAGCACAAUCAGUUUAGCUCGUGCGAGUACGAGUCUCCCGACAAGUGCCUCGACGUGUUCGUUAGCUAUCGCAGGUCCAACGGCUCGCAGCUCGCGAGUCUGUUGAAGGUACACCUGCAGCUACGCGGCUUCUCCGUGUUUAUCGACGUAGAGCGACUCGAGGCCGGCAAAUUCGACAACAAUCUGCUGCAGAGCAUCAAGCAGGCGAAACACUUUUUGCUGGUGCUCACGCCCCAAGCCCUAGAGAGAUGCGUACAGGACAGCGAGUGCAAGGACUGGGUACACAGAGAAAUCGUGGCUGCGUUGCAAUCGGACUGCAACAUAAUCCCCAUCAUCGACCAGUGCUUCCAAUGGCCAGAACCCGAGGAACUUCCCGAGGAUAUGCGAGCGGUCUGUCACUUCAACGGUGUUCGUUGGAUUCAUGACUAUCAGGAUGCCUGCGUAGACAAAUUGGAAAGGUUUAUGCGAGGCGAGUUACCCAUGAGACCCGACCUGUCCGGCGGAAUACCGCGCAGCAUGGCGCCCAAGGACGUGACUACGCCAAGCACACCGGGCAACACGAAUAUGCGACAACCGCCGAGCUAUCAGCGGAUGCACAGCAACGAGAGCAGGAGCAGCGACAAGGAUUCCACGGGUGGGCGAGACUGACUAGAGGGCCCGCCCACAGCCAUACCGAGCAGCCAAGAUUGCGAAUCGUGCUAAGACAAUCGCGACUAGGCUUAGAAAAUCGUCGAGUCCGUUCCGUUGGUUGAUGGGUCUGCCGCCAGCGUCUCCUCGCUUCAAAUUCGUACACGCGCAUCCUGGUGACGGCAGCGGUAGUCCAGCGGUGCCUCGCAGACCGCCACGGCAGCAA